CCCUUAGAUGUUCUGGGCCGCACGCGCGCUACACUGAUGCAUUCAACGAGUUCCUACCUUGGCCGAGAGGCCUGGGCAAUCUUUUGAACUUGCAUCGUGAUAGGGAUAGAUUAUUGCAAUUAUUAAUCUUGAACGAGGAAUUCCUAGUAAACGCAGAUCAUCAAUCUGCAUUGAUUACGUCCCCGCCCUUUGUACACACCGCCCGUCGCACCUACCGAUUGAAUGGUCCGGUGAAGCCUCGGGAUUGUGGUUAGUUUCCUUCAUUGGAAGUUAGCCGCGAGAACUUGUCUAAACCUUAUCAUUUAGAGGAAGGUGAAGUCGUAACA
This 326-nucleotide ribosomal RNA is filed under the name uncultured eukaryote. Its description in RNAcentral is "partial 18S ribosomal RNA". It matches the Rfam family "Eukaryotic small subunit ribosomal RNA", at positions 1470 to 1796 of the family's 1831-position model. The record is from RNAcentral.